AUUNNCUCCUACCCAUGUGCACCAUACCAAUAGCUGUUGCCUCGGCGGGGUCACGCCCCGGGUGCGUCGCAGCCCCGGAACCAGGCGCCCGCCGGAGGGACCAACCAAACUCUUUCUGUAGUCCCCUCGCGGACGUUAUUUCUUACAGCUCUGAGCAAAAAUUCAAAAUGAAUCAAAACUUUCAACAACGGAUCUCUUGGUUCUGGCAUCGAUGAAGAACGCAGCGAAAUGCGAUAAGUAAUGUGAAUUGCAGAAUUCAGUGAAUCAUCGAAUCUUUGAACGCACAUUGCGCCCGCCAGUAUUCUGGCGGGCAUGCCUGUCCGAGCGUCAUUUCAACCCUCGAACCCCUCCGGGGGGUCGGCGUUGGGGAUCGGGAACCCCUAAGACGGGAUCCCGGCCCCGAAAUACAGUGGCGGUCUCGCCGCAGCCUCUCCUGCGCAGUAGUUUGCACAACUCGCACCGGGAGCGCGGCGCGUCCACGUCCGUAAAACACCCAACUUCUGAAAUGUUGACCUCGGAUCAGGUAGGAAUACCCGCUGAACUUAGUGACCUCAGAUCAUUGNU
Molecule: unclassified non-coding RNA, 564 nt
Filed under: Trichoderma sp. MF-52
Lineage: Eukaryota; Fungi; Ascomycota; Sordariomycetes; Hypocreales; Hypocreaceae
Description: partial contains ITS1, 5.8S rRNA and ITS2
Rfam family: 5.8S ribosomal RNA (bases 177-330)
Source: RNAcentral